Molecule: ribosomal RNA, 539 nt
Filed under: uncultured Verrucomicrobiota bacterium
Lineage: Bacteria; Pseudomonadati; Verrucomicrobiota
Also listed under: 1 other name
Description: bacterial SSU rRNA
Rfam family: Bacterial small subunit ribosomal RNA
Source: RNAcentral
AGUGAACCGCCUGGGGACUACGGCCGCCAGGCUAAAACUCAAGAGAAUUGACGGGGCCCUGCACAAGUGGUGGAGCACGUGGUUUAAUUCGAUGAUAAGCGAAGAACCUUACCUGGGCUUGACAUACUAGCAGUAGGAGCCAGAGAUGGUAACGACCCCUACUUUUGGUAGGGGAACUAGUACAGGUGAUGCAUGGCUGUCGUCAGCUCGUGUCGUGGGACGUUGGGUUAAGUCCCGAAACGAGCGCAACCCCUGUUGUUAGUUGCCAGCGGGUAAUGCCGGGGACUCUAACAAGACUGCUGGUGAAUAGCCGGAGGAAGGAGGGGAUGACGUCAAGUCAUCAUGUCCCUUAUGUCCAGGGCGACACACAUGCUACAAUGGGAGGUACAAAGGGCUGCUAAACCGUAAGGUCAUGCGAAUCCCAGAAAGCCUUCCUUAGUUCGGAUUGAGGUCUGCAACCCGACCUCAUGAAGCCGGAAUCGCUAGUAAUGCACAGGUCAGCCACACUGCGGUGAAUAUGUACUCAGGGCUUGUACACA